CUACGAAGGUCCCAAGCGUUAUGCGGAAUCACUGGGCGUAAAGAGUACGUAGGCGGUUUGGUAAGUCAGGUGUGAAAUCCCGGAGCUCAACUCCGGAACUGCAUCCGAUACUGCCAGACUUGAGUAAUGGAGAGGCAGGUGGAAUUCUCGGUGUAGCAGGGAAAUGCGUGGAUAUCGAGAGGAAGACCAAUGGCGAACGCAGCCUGCUGGACAUUUACUGACGCUGAGGUACGAAGGCUAGGGGAGCGAAAGGGAUUAGAAACCCCGGUAGUCC
This 274-nucleotide ribosomal RNA is filed under the name uncultured bacterium. RNAcentral describes it as "partial 16S ribosomal RNA". It matches the Rfam family "Bacterial small subunit ribosomal RNA", at positions 523 to 796 of the family's 1533-position model. The record is from RNAcentral.